This is a small nuclear RNA of Cercocebus atys (sooty mangabey), 103 nucleotides long. The record is from Ensembl. NCBI's taxonomy places the organism in Eukaryota, Metazoa, Chordata, Mammalia, Primates, Cercopithecidae.
GUGCUCACUUCAGCAGCAUAUAUACUAAAAUCAGAACAAUUCAGAGAGGACCAGCAUGCCUCCUGCAGAAGGAUGACACAUAUUUGUGGUGUUACGUAUUUUC